UGGGGAAUUUUUGGACAAUGGGCGAAAGCCUGAUCCAGCAAUGCCGCGUGUGUGAAGAAGGCCUUCGGGUUGUAAAGCACUUUUGUCCGGAAAGAAAUCCUUGGCUCUAAUACAGUCGGGGGAUGACGGUACCGGAAGAAUAAGCACCGGCUAACUACGUGCCAGCAGCCGCGGUAAUACGUAGGGUGCAAGCGUUAAUCGGAAUUACUGGGCGUAAAGCGUGCGCAGGCGGUUUGCUAAGACCGAUGUGAAAUCCCCGGGCUCAACCUGGGAACUGCAUUGGUGACUGGCAGGCUAGAGUAUGGCAGAGGGGGGUAGAAUUCCACGUGUAGCAGUGAAAUGCGUAGAGAUGUGGAGGAAUACCGAUGGCGAAGGCAGCCCCCUGGGGCCAAUACUGACGCUCAUGCACGAAAGCGUGGGGAGCAAACAGGAUUAGAUACCCUGGUAGUCCACGCCCUAAACGAUGUCAACUAGUUGUUGGGGAUUCAUUUCCUUAGUAACGUAGCUAACGCGUGAAGUUGACCGCCUGGGGGAGUACGGUCGCAAGAUUAAAACUCAAAGGAAUUGACGGGGUCAUAGCUGUUUCCU
This 588-nucleotide ribosomal RNA is filed under the name uncultured bacterium. RNAcentral describes it as "partial 16S ribosomal RNA". It matches the Rfam family "Bacterial small subunit ribosomal RNA", at positions 355 to 1375 of the family's 1533-position model. The record is from RNAcentral.